Molecule: ribosomal RNA, 253 nt
Filed under: uncultured bacterium
Lineage: Bacteria
Description: partial 16S ribosomal RNA
Rfam family: Bacterial small subunit ribosomal RNA
Source: RNAcentral
UACGUAGGGUGCGAGCGUUGUCCGGAAUUAUUGGGCGUAAAUGGCUCGUAGGCGGUUUGUCGCGUCGGGAGUGAAAACCUUGGGCUUAACUCAGGGCUUGCUUUCGAUACGGGCAGACUAGAGGUAUGCAGGGGAGAACGGAAUUCCUGGUGUAGCGGUGAAAUGCGCAGAUAUCAGGAGGAACACCGAUGGCGAAGGCAGGUCUCUGGGCCACUACUGACGCUGAGAAGCGAAAGCAUGGGGAGCGAGCAGG